Molecule: non-coding RNA, 869 nt
Organism: Arachis ipaensis
Lineage: Eukaryota; Viridiplantae; Streptophyta; Magnoliopsida; Fabales; Fabaceae
Source: RefSeq, a predicted model, not a curated record
UUUAAAUUAUUUCAUAUUCUAAUUUCAACCUCAACUCUAUUAUCAAAAUUUUAAGUUUUUACAUUCUUCUAUUAUUACCACCUUAAUUAUCAUUACUUAGAGCUCUAAAUCAAGUCUCUUCUUUUUCACCAAAAUUUCAUUUUCUUUCCAUUAUCCCAUACAAUAUGUUCUUAUCAUUUUUUUCGUCACUUCUACCACAACUAUCUCUACAUCAACCUUAACAUUGUUCGUUAUUAUCUACCGCACUAUCUCAUCAUUGCUACGGUCCAUACACAUUCACUAACAAUAACAAUAGAGAUGAGAGCAAUAAAAAAAAAAGCCAAAUUGAAGUGAGAAAGAGAGACAACAAUGGAGGGGUGUGUGUGAGAGAGAACACUCCAAAGGAGGAGGGAGGGAUCGGAGAAGUGGCGGUGGCUGUGGACUGUCACUCUUAACUUUUGUGACAUGAUCACUAUUUUUGUUUUUUGCGGCACAAUCGGCGUCGAUUCCUCCUCUAUUAACGCUAACAUCGUCAAUGGCACCACCUUCUUCAAGAUAUUCAAGAUUCUUCGAUUUCUCUCUAUUAUUCUUCUCUUGAAUUUUUUUUUUUUGAAGAAAAUUUGAAUAUUUUUGUGGUUUAAUUAUUUGCAGUUAUAUAUUGUUGUUAGGGAGCUACUCAAAUAAAGAUGCAAAAAACAUCUUUUUAUGAAGAUGCUUUGUAUAAAAGUGUGAUUUAUUGAUUUGGCCACACUUCAAAUAGAAACAACACUUUUAUAACAUAUCAAAAUCUAACCCUACACUCCAUCAUCUAAGGGUCAAAAAGAAAAAUCAUCACAUGAAGACAAUUAUAAUAUCUUCAUGGGAGUACCCACCUUAUUUUAAUACAUUGA